RNAcentral lists this ribosomal RNA (429 nucleotides) under Bacteroidota bacterium. RNAcentral describes it as "Bacteroidetes bacterium partial 16S ribosomal RNA". It matches the Rfam family "Bacterial small subunit ribosomal RNA", at positions 355 to 776 of the family's 1533-position model. Lineage: Bacteria; Pseudomonadati; Bacteroidota. The record is from RNAcentral.
UAGGGAAUCUUCCGCAAUGGACGCAAGUCUGACGGAGCAACGCCGCGUGAGUGAAGAAGGAUUUCGGUUCGUAAAACUCUGUUGUUAGAGAAGAACAGCGCAUCGAGUAACUGUUAUGCGUGUGACGGUAUCUAACCAGAAAGCCACGGCUUACUACGUGCCAGCAGCCGCGGUAAUACGUAGGUGGCAAGCGUUGUCCGGAUUUAUUGGGCGUAAAGCGAGCGCAGGCGGUCAAUUAAGUCUGAUGUGAAAGCCCCCGGCUCAACCGGGGAGGGUCAUUAGAAACUGGUUGACUUGAGUGCAGAAGAGGAGAGUGGAAUUCCAUGUGUAGCGGUGAAAUGCGUAGAUAUAUGGAGGAACACCAGUGGCGAAGGCGACUCUCUGGUCUGUAACUGACGCUGAGGCUCGAAAGCGUGGGUAGCAAACAGG